ACAAAGGCUCUUUUAAGAGCCGCCCACUUUUACCCGAAAAUAGCUGU
This is a non-coding RNA of Callithrix jacchus (white-tufted-ear marmoset), 47 nucleotides long. Lineage: Eukaryota; Metazoa; Chordata; Mammalia; Primates; Cebidae. The record is from Rfam.